Molecule: long non-coding RNA, 1930 nt
Filed under: Jatropha curcas
Lineage: Eukaryota; Viridiplantae; Streptophyta; Magnoliopsida; Malpighiales; Euphorbiaceae
Description: long non-coding RNA (JCUR_LNC000524)
Source: RNAcentral
GAUAAUGCAAAUCCAUUUGCAGCUCUUCUGGGGAACCAGGCAGGGAACCAAGCUAGUGAUGGGUCAACUAAUCCAUCAAGUGCUAACUCUGAGUCCACCACAGGUUCCCCAGCUCCAAAUACCAAUCCGCUGCCCAACCCAUGGACUUCUGCUGGGUGUAAGCUCUCUCUUUCUCACCCUUCAUAUUAAUCAUUUUGAAGCAGUUGAAAAGUAAAUUACUGUGUAUCUUCUUAUGUUCUUUGUUCUUAAUCUUUCUGCUAACUCCUCCUUCCUCCUUCCACUCCUGAAAGGUGUUAGGUUUGCAAUGAGUCUACUUUCUAUAAUCAUUUCAAUGACAUUCUGAGUUAAGUUAAAAAUAUGUUAUUUAGAUUUCAAAAAUAUUGUAUGUCAAUGGGUGAUGGUAGUGCUUGAGUUAGGUUGGCUUUUUAGUGAUUUUGUAUUUCAUCACUGGUCUGUUUAUAACCUUUUCUCAGAGUUCCUAGAUAUUUAAUACAGUUUUAUUUAUUUACUUGCCUUUUAUUUUAUGCACCUUAAAAAUGUCUUAUGAAGCAUGUGACAUUUAACUUUGAUUAAGUUAGUGUUUUAUAUGUUUCUCUCUCUCUCUCUCUCUCUCUCUCUCUCUCUCUGAUUAUCAGUGCUUAAAAAUGCAAAAUAAUAGAUAAUCUAUCGACUGCUUUUGCUAACUUCUGAUUAAAUGCAACUUUUAUAGCUGGUGCUGCCCCCCAGGCUAACACCACAAGGUCAAAUACUGCUGGGGAUGCUAGGGCACAGGCACCUGCUGGGUUAGGUGGACUUGGUCUUCCAGAGUUUGACAACAUGUUUGGUGCUAUGCCAGACGCUAAUCUAAUGACUCAGUUAUUGCAAAAUCCAGCUGUUUCACAAAUGAUGCAAAGCCUCCUUUCCAAUCCUCAGUACAUGAACCAGGUAACAAAAUGUCCAUGUUGCUUGGUAUAAUUCUUCUAAAUAUAACAUCUUGCCAACUAACAUCAAUUUUAUUUCAGGUUCUUGGUUCUAAUCCUCAAGUUCGUAGCAUGCUUGAUUCCAAUUCUCAAUUAAGAGAGAUAAUGCAAAACCCAGAAUUUGUUCGUCAAUUAACUUCUCCUGAGACAAUGCAGGUACAUCUGUCGAUUUUUGGCUUUGACUCUCUACUCAUUCAUGCAUGCACAUACCUCUCCCUAGUGAUCACAACAUGUGUGAAGUGAAGAUGGCUGUGAAGUUGGUAUUAGAUAUUGAAUUGUUUUUGUUUAAGCUAUUCAUGAUGUUUGCAUUAUUUAAUCAGUCACCAAGGUUAUUAGAACUCCCAAAUGGUGCUAUAAUGUUUUUCUUUUUUAGUAAAUUGAAGAUAUAAGCCAUAUGGUUUCUUUCAUGCAGCAACUUUUGACCUUCCAGCAAGCUCUGUUGUCUCAGCUUGGUCGGCAGCAGUCAAGCCAGUAAGUUGUUCCAUAGUUUUUUCUCUUAGUUUUUCCUGGAAAUUUCCAUUGACCUUUUGUAGGAAUGGUCAAGGCAUUGGAUGGUUUUCACCUGUUUUGUUUCUUAGGUCUCUCAUCUACAUGUGACAUCUUAUGUGGGUUAGCUGUUCAGUUUGUUUUUCAGUUUACUAAAUUGGUGUCCUUUUGCAGGGAACCAGGUCAGACAUCAGUGCUUAAAAAUGCAAAAUAAUAGAUAAUCUAUCGACUGCUUUUGCUAACUUCUGAUUAAAUGCAACUUUUAUAGCUGGUGCUGCCCCCCAGGCUAACACCACAAGGUCAAAUACUGCUGGGGAUGCUAGGGCACAGGCACCUGCUGGGUUAGGUGGACUUGGUCUUCCAGAGUUUGACAACAUGUUUGGUGCUAUGCCAGACGCUAAUCUAAUGACUCAGUUAUUGCAAAAUCCAGCUGUUUCACAAAUGAUGCAAAGCCUCCUUUCCAAUCCUCAGUACAUGAACCAGGU